This 237-nucleotide ribosomal RNA is filed under the name uncultured bacterium. Its description in RNAcentral is "partial 16S ribosomal RNA". It matches the Rfam family "Bacterial small subunit ribosomal RNA", at positions 15 to 244 of the family's 1533-position model. The record is from RNAcentral.
GAUCCUGGCUCAGGAUGAACGCUAGCGGCAGGCUUAACACAUGCAAGUCGAGGGGCAGCAUAAUGGAUAGCAAUAUCUAUGGCGGCGACCGGCGCACGGGUGCGUAACGCGUAUGCAACCUACCUUUAACAGGGGGAUAACACUGAGAAAUUGGUACUAAUACCCCAUAAUAUCAUAGAAGGCAUCUUUAUGGUUGUAAAUUACCGUAUGUUAGAGAUGGGCGAUGCGUUGUAUUAG